UACGUAGGGUGCAAGCGUUAAUCGGAAUUACUGGGCGUAAAGCGUGCGCAGGCGGUUAUAUAAGACAGUUGUGAAAUCCCCGGGCUCAACCUGGGAACUGCAUCUGUGACUGUAUAGCUAGAGUACGGUAGAGGGGGGAUGGAAUUCCGCGUGUAGCAGUGAAAUGCGUAGAUAUGCGGAGGAACACCGAUGGCGAAGGCAAUCCCCCUGGACCUGUACUGACGCUCAUGCACGAAAGCGUGGGGGAGCAAACAGG
Molecule: ribosomal RNA, 256 nt
Filed under: uncultured bacterium
Lineage: Bacteria
Description: partial 16S ribosomal RNA
Rfam family: Bacterial small subunit ribosomal RNA
Source: RNAcentral